GCAGCUCGGUGGCGGGGUCCCCGGGCCUGUGGGGGCCCCCAGCGUCUGAGGUGAGGCGUGCCUUGAGGCCUUGGAACUGUCUGGCCACGUAGCUGCUUCUGGACCUGGCCAGAGCCUGGACAUGACUAGUAGAUCUUGCUCACCAUGGACAGCACCCUCCCUGAGGUACCAAGUUGGACACUGCCAAUCUGCAGAGGAUCUGGUCCCCCAAGUGCCAUCCUUCUGGGCCAAGCCCUGAGUCCCUCCAAGCACCUUCACACAGGGAAAUUUCUACUUCUUGGAGUCUGCACCUGCACCUUUUCCUGCGUCUUUACGCUUGCAUCCCACCAAUGCCACCAAGUAUCUAUUCAUUAGACAAGUAUUUGUCGAG
Long non-coding RNA from Phyllostomus hastatus (greater spear-nosed bat), 370 nucleotides. RefSeq lists it as uncharacterized. The transcript has 3 exons. Lineage: Eukaryota; Metazoa; Chordata; Mammalia; Chiroptera; Phyllostomidae. The record is from RefSeq and is a predicted model, not a curated record.